This 255-nucleotide ribosomal RNA is filed under the name Listeria monocytogenes. RNAcentral describes it as "partial 16S ribosomal RNA". It matches the Rfam family "Bacterial small subunit ribosomal RNA", at positions 657 to 910 of the family's 1533-position model. The record is from RNAcentral. Lineage: Bacteria; Bacillati; Bacillota; Bacilli; Caryophanales; Listeriaceae.
GAGAGUGGAAUUCCACGUGUAGCGGUGAAAGGCGUAGAUAUGUGGAGGAACACCAGUGGCGAAGGCGACUCUCUGGUCUGUAACUGACGCUGAGGCGCGAAAGCGUGGGGAGCAAACAGGAUUAGAUACCCUGGUAGUCCACGCCGUAAACGAUGAGUGCUAAGUGUUAGGGGGUUUCCGCCCCUUAGUGCUGCAGCUAACGCAUUAAGCACUCCGCCUGGGGAGUACGACCGCAAGGUUGAAACUCAAAGGAAU